CGCGCAGGCGGUCGAUCAAGUCGAGUGUGAAAGCCCCCGGCUCAACUGGGAGGGUCAUUCGAAACUGGUCGACUCGAAGGCAGGAGAGGGUAGUGGAAUUCCCGGUGUAGUGGUGAAAUGCGUAGAUAUCGGGAGGAACACCAGUGGCGAAGGCGACUACCUGGCCUGUUCUUGACGCUGAGGCGCGAAGCUAGGGGAGCAAACG
This 205-nucleotide ribosomal RNA is filed under the name uncultured bacterium. Its description in RNAcentral is "partial 16S ribosomal RNA". It matches the Rfam family "Bacterial small subunit ribosomal RNA", at positions 568 to 774 of the family's 1533-position model. The record is from RNAcentral.